GCAUUGGUGGUUCAAUGGCAGAAUUCUCGCCUGCCACGCGGGAGAUCUGGGCUCGAUUCCUCACUGAUGCA
Molecule: transfer RNA, 71 nt
Filed under: Neotoma lepida (desert woodrat)
Lineage: Eukaryota; Metazoa; Chordata; Mammalia; Rodentia; Cricetidae
Rfam family: tRNA
About the family: Transfer RNA (tRNA) molecules are approximately 80 nucleotides in length. Their secondary structure includes four short double-helical elements and three loops (D, anti-codon, and T loops). Further hydrogen bonds mediate the characteristic L-shaped molecular structure. tRNAs have two regions of fundamental functional importance: the anti-codon, which is responsible for specific mRNA codon recognition, and the 3' end, to which the tRNAs corresponding amino acid is attached (by aminoacyl-tRNA synthetases). tRNAs cope with the degeneracy of the genetic code in two manners: having more than one tRNA (with a specific anti-codon) for a particular amino acid; and 'wobble' base-pairing, i.e. permitting non-standard base-pairing at the 3rd anti-codon position.
Source: Rfam by way of RNAcentral